RNAcentral lists this ribosomal RNA (225 nucleotides) under Triticum aestivum (bread wheat). Its description in RNAcentral is "partial small subunit ribosomal RNA". Lineage: Eukaryota; Viridiplantae; Streptophyta; Magnoliopsida; Poales; Poaceae. The record is from RNAcentral.
AUGCUUGGGCUGCGUCACUGGGUCGCGACGGUGCCGGAGGACGAGGACGUCGAGGCCGGGUGCCGCGGCACCGCGUUGGCCGCGGCCGGUGAAGGGGGCGAAGAAGGGCAGCUUCCCUGGCCGUGGCCGUGGCCGUGGCCCUGGGAGUUGGUGCGGUGGAAGCGGCACUUGAAGGACCCGACGUGGGUGGCCGGCGCACAGACGCACUUGGAAGCGGACCCGUGA